GAUGAACGCUGGCGGCGUGCCUAAUACAUGCAAGUCGAGCGAACGGACGAGAAGCUUGCUUCUCUGACGUUAGCGGCGGACGUGUGAGUAACGCGUGUAUAACCUACCUAUAUGACUGGGAUAACUUCGGGACACCGGAGCUAAUACCGGAUAAUAUUUUGAACCGCAGGGUUCAAUAGUGAAAUACGGUCCUUCUGUCACUUAUAGAUGGAUCCGCGCUGCAUUAGCUAGUUGUUAAGGUAACGGCUUACCAAGGCAACGAUGCAUAGCCGACCUGAGAGGGGGAUCGGCCACACUGGAACUGAGACACGGUCCAGACUCCUACGGGAGGCAGCAGUAGGGAAUCGUCCGCAAUGGGGGAAAGCCUGACGGAGCAAGGCCGCGUGAGUGAUGAAGGUCUUCGGAUCGUAAAACUCGGUUAUUAGGGAAGAACAUAUGUGGAAGUAAAUGUGCACAUAUUGACGGUAACUAAUAAGAAAGCCACGGCUAACUACGUG
RNAcentral lists this ribosomal RNA (497 nucleotides) under uncultured bacterium. RNAcentral's name for it is "partial 16S ribosomal RNA". It matches the Rfam family "Bacterial small subunit ribosomal RNA", at positions 28 to 507 of the family's 1533-position model. The record is from RNAcentral.